RNAcentral lists this unclassified non-coding RNA (612 nucleotides) under Hevea brasiliensis (rubber tree). The record is from RNAcentral. Lineage: Eukaryota; Viridiplantae; Streptophyta; Magnoliopsida; Malpighiales; Euphorbiaceae.
UAGGGUAUUUAUAGGGUUUUGGGAAAGAGGUGUGAUAGGGUUUGGAGUCCUAUUGUGAUAAAAUUUAGAUAACUUAAACAACUAGGGUUGCAGAAUUUGGGUGAGACUGGGAUACGGGUGAGGUGUUCUAAUCAAUAGGAGGAGAGGGAAAUGGAGUAGCACCAAUAGGGAGUGAGGAAGAGGUGUGGUAGGGUUUGAAGUCCUAGUGUGAUAAGGUUUAGAUAACUUAAACAACUGGGAUCGAGGAAUUUGGGUGAGACUGAGAUGUAGGUGAGGUGUUCUAACAAAUAGGAAGAGAGGGAAAGAGGGUGGCACCAAUAGGGAGUGAGAAAGAGAGUGGGGCCAAAGGAGAAGAGAGAGAGUUUGUAUGAGAGAGGGGUAGAGAAAAAUAUAUUUUUUUAUUUUAAUUUCCAAAAAAUAAAUUAAAUUGGUCAUAUUUAAAAUUCUUACCUAGGCUUUCUUAGACCCAUGGAACCAAUUAAACUUAAUUAGGUAUAUUUAAAAACUACUCAUAUUAAAUUUAAACAAAAUAAAAUUUUAUUUAAAUUUAAUUAAAUUAAUUUCCCCAAAACUUUAUUAUUAUUUUUAUUUUUUCAAGAUCAUGCCACGGAA